Molecule: long non-coding RNA, 1900 nt
Organism: Metopolophium dirhodum (rose-grain aphid)
Lineage: Eukaryota; Metazoa; Arthropoda; Insecta; Hemiptera; Aphididae
Exons: 8
Source: RefSeq, a predicted model, not a curated record
GAUAACAUCGUACAAUUGUUAUCAAUAUUCAUUGUUUGCUUGUGAAUUAUUUUUUAUAAAAGUUUUGAUUUUUCUCAAAUUAAUUUAGUCCAGAUCCUAAGAAAUAAUAAGUUAUACUAUUAUAGUACUGUAGCAGUUAGUGCUUUAUACUUUAUAGUAUAGGUUAGGUCUCUGUGGUCAACCAAAACAAAUUCAAUCAUGUCAAACUUACUUCUAUAGUUCAAUGUAAGUACUUUUAUUACAAAAUUUCCAAAGUAUAUCAAGCGUAUAACUCGUGAAAGUGAAUAUUGCUGUUUUGUUCAACAUUACCUAGUCAGUAAUUAACAUCCUCAAUUAUUAAGAUACUCUAUAAACCAAUGGAUCUAAAUGAAUAAAUGUUAUAUUCUCAAUGCACCAGCACUCUGUUAGACGACUACUUGAAGACUCACAAUCUAGAAAUGGGGAUUCAUGCUUAAUUGUUUUGGUAACUGAGAGUGAAUCAAUGUUAUUAGGACAUAAAAAAAUGUUUUAGUAGCAGAUAGUCCAUAUUUCCGAGCUGUGUUUAACAGUUUUGAGAAGAGCAACAAUUCAAGUCUUGAUAAUAUGAGUUGGAUCCCACCGUUUUACUACUAUUUUUAGAUGAUAAUUAUAUAUAUUUAUACUGGCAAAAUUAUGGUCACCAAUGAAAAUGUACAGAAAUCAGUUCAGCAUUUCACUAUUCCAAAUAGGAUUCGGUGUAGAGGUUUUUGAUGUCAGUGCUCAAAAAUGGGUAGCUAGUAUGACUCAAUAAGUGAUCAGCGGAUCAGCGUGGGGGUGCUCAAUAAUCGUUUAUAUGAGAUAGGAUGUUUUUCAAAACAUUUGAAGUCUGUCGAACGUUAUGAUCCCACACAUGAAUAACCUAGUUAAAUAACUGUUUGUAUUUCGUGAAGGUGUUAAUAUAGAAGUUUUGGAAGGUGUUAUGUAUGCUGUCAGUGUUAGUGAUGUAUCAACAUUUCUUAACAGUAUUGAGGCCUGUAGAAUUAUGAUGGAUUAUAUUGCUUAUAUAUACCUACCUGAAGUCAGUUCAGUAUUUCGCCAUUCCAAAUACGAUUCAGUGUAGAGGCUUUUGAUGUCAAUGUUCAAAAGUUGGUUGCUAGUAUGACUAUAGAAGUGAUUCGCCUGUGGGUAUACUCAAUAAUUGUUUACAUGAAGAGUAGUCGAAUCAGAUGGUUUAUUGUAUGUGAUUGAUGGAGAAACAGAUAAAUCUGAAGAAUUUGUGAAUACUAUAGAAGUGUAAACAAGUGUAACAUCCAACAUCUGGUCCACGGGAACAUUGUCAAGAAGUAACAUUGACUUCUGUGUGUUUAGUUGAGUAGUCGUUAAUGGGCCACCACAAUUUAUAUCUAAUUAACAUUUAUAGUAGUCCUAUUUGUAGUAAUAACACACACAUAUAUUUUAUAACUUAUGAUGAAACAAAUAUUUAUUCUAUCAAUUUUAAACCACUGAUUCAAUUAGGUUUACUUAAAUAUUCAUUAAAUCAAAGGUUUUUUUAGAUUUUUUAAAAUUUUAAAGCCGUUUAAAAUAAUUUCAUUGAAUUUUCACCUAAAUAAUUUUUUUAGAUAAUUAUAUUCGAAAUAAGUUGGUAACAUAAUAAAAUAAUAAUUGUUAUUUUUUUACCUUUUAUGUUAAUUUAUAUACUUGUUUGGUGCUUACGCCCAAAAUUUUUGGGAAUAUGUCGAUUAUACUUUUUGGCGAUCACCCCUUAUUUUUGUUAUUAACCUGAAUUUUGGUAGUUACAACCAGCAUAAUAAUAAUAAUAUUAUAAUUUCAUUUUACUCUGUUUAUCUAAAAAUGAACAAAACAAAAUUUAUUUUGAGAAUUAUAUGAAGAAUUAUAUUAAGAAAUUAUCAAUAAUUAUAAUAACCAAAAAUGCAGAAUUAUG